UCAUUGUAUAUUUUAAUAAAAAUAUUAAUUUUGGAGAUUAAAGAUAAUAAUUUAUUUAUUUAUAUUGAA
RNAcentral lists this transfer RNA (69 nucleotides) under Stomaphis sinisalicis. Its description in RNAcentral is "tRNA-Pro". The record is from RNAcentral. Lineage: Eukaryota; Metazoa; Arthropoda; Insecta; Hemiptera; Aphididae.